CCUACGGGAGGCAGCAGUGAGGAAUAUUGGUCAAUGGACGCAAGUCUGAACCAGCCAUGCCGCGUGCAGGAAGACGGCUCUAUGAGUUGUAAACUGCUUUUGUACGAGGGUAAACGCAGAUACGCGUAUCUGUCUGAAAGUAUCGUACGAAUAAGGAUCGGCUAACUCCGUGCCAGCAGACGCGGUAAUACGGAGGAUUCAAGCGUUAUCCGGAUUUAUUGGGUUUAAAGGGUGCGUAGGCGGUCGGAUAAGUUAGAGGUGAAAUCCCGAGGCUCAACUUCGGAAUUGCCUCUGAUACUGUUCGGCUAGAGAGUAGUUGCGGUAGGCGGAAUGUAUGGUGUAGCGGUGAAAUGCUUAGAGAUCAUACAGAACACCGAUUGCGAAGGCAGCUUACCAAGCUACUUCUGACGUUGAGGCACGAAAGCGUGGGGAGUAAACAGGAUUAGAUACCUGGUAGUC
RNAcentral lists this ribosomal RNA (459 nucleotides) under uncultured bacterium. Its description in RNAcentral is "partial 16S ribosomal RNA". It matches the Rfam family "Bacterial small subunit ribosomal RNA", at positions 338 to 795 of the family's 1533-position model. The record is from RNAcentral.